UCAGACUUAACACAUGCAAGUCGAGCGAGGACUUUGGUCCUAGUGGCGGACGGGUGAGUAACGCGUGGGAACGUGCCCUUUGCUACGGAAUAGCCCUGGGAAACUGGGAGUAAUCCCGUAUGUGCCCUUUGGGGGAAAGAUUUAUCGGCAAAGGAUCGGCCCGCGUUGGAUUAGGUAGUUGGUGGGGUAAUGGCCUACCAAGCCGACGAUCCAUAGCUGGUUUGAGAGGAUGAUCAGCCACACUGGGACUGAGACACGGCCCAGACUCCUACGGGAGGCAGCAGUGGGGAAUCUUAGAGAGUGGGCGCAAGCCUGAUCUAGCCAUGCCGCGUAUGAAUGGGGGCCUUAGGGUUGUAAAGCUCUUCAGGGGGGAAGAUAAUGA
Molecule: ribosomal RNA, 382 nt
Filed under: uncultured bacterium
Lineage: Bacteria
Description: bacterial SSU rRNA
Rfam family: Bacterial small subunit ribosomal RNA
Source: RNAcentral